This 576-nucleotide ribosomal RNA is filed under the name uncultured bacterium. RNAcentral describes it as "bacterial SSU rRNA". It matches the Rfam family "Bacterial small subunit ribosomal RNA", at positions 102 to 674 of the family's 1533-position model. The record is from RNAcentral.
ACGGGUGAGUAAUACAUCGGAACGUGCCCUGGAGUGGGGGAUAACGUAGCGAAAGUUACGCUAAUACCGCAUAUUCUGUGAGCAGAAAAGCAGGGGAUCGCAAGACCUUGCGCUUUAGGAGCGGCCGAUGUCGGAUUAGCUAGUUGGUGAGGUAAAGGCUCACCAAGGCGACGAUCCGUAGCGGGUCUGAGAGGAUGAUCCGCCACACUGGAACUGAGACACGGUCCAGACUCCUACGGGAGGCAGCAGUGGGGAAUUUUGGACAAUGGGCGCAAGCCUGAUCCAGCCAUGCCGCGUGAGUGACGAAGGCCUUCGGGUUGUAAAGCUCUUUCGGCGGGGAAGAAAUAGCGUGGGUUAAUACCCUGCGUUGAUGACGGUACCCGCAUAAGAAGCACCGGCUAACUACGUGCCAGCAGCCGCGGUAAUACGUAGGGUGCGAGCGUUAAUCGGAAUUACUGGGCGUAAAGCGUGCGCAGGCGGUUGUAUAAGUCAGAUGUGAAAUCCCCGGGCUCAACCUGGGAACUGCAUUUGAGACUGUACGGCUAGAGUUUGGCAGAGGGGGGUGGAAUUCCACGU